UACGGGGGGGGCAAGCGUUGUUCGGAAUUACUGGGCGUAAAGGGCGCGUAGGCGGCCACCGCAAGUCGACUGUGAAAUCUCCGGGCUUACCCGGAAAGGUCAGCCGAUACUGCGGGGCUAGAGUGCAGAAGGGGCAACUGGAAUUCUCGGUGUAGCGGUGAAAUGCGUAGAUAUCGAGAGGAACACCUGCGGCGAAGGCGGUUGCUGGGCUGACACGUGACGCUGAGGCGCGAAAGCUAGGGGAGCGAACGGG
This 253-nucleotide ribosomal RNA is filed under the name uncultured bacterium. RNAcentral describes it as "partial 16S ribosomal RNA". It matches the Rfam family "Bacterial small subunit ribosomal RNA", at positions 524 to 776 of the family's 1533-position model. The record is from RNAcentral.